RNAcentral lists this long non-coding RNA (359 nucleotides) under Populus trichocarpa (black cottonwood). RNAcentral describes it as "long non-coding RNA (PTRI_LNC001970)". The record is from RNAcentral. Lineage: Eukaryota; Viridiplantae; Streptophyta; Magnoliopsida; Malpighiales; Salicaceae.
CUACUUCUAAAGAAUGAAAAGAGCAUGAUUUUUGGGUUUGUAGAGGAGAGAAUUUGUGUUUAUUCUCUGCUGGCUGCUGCCUCCUUCUGCUCUCCCUCUUUUCUGCUGGCUGCUGCCUCCUUCUCUCUUUCUUUUUAUAUGCUAAGAAACCCUAGUCUCUAUUUUACAAAAUAGUCCUUCCUUGAGUUGGCAGUUUACAUUUAAGUACUUCAAUAACUAUUUUUCCUAAAAGGAGAAAUAGUCUUGCAUGAAAUCUUCAAGCUCUGACUUGGAGGAGCUAAAUUGCUGAUAUAAAAACUUGGAUGUCGGUUUAGAUGCUUCAGAAUGUAGUUUGGACUUGUUUCUUCACGAAACCUGUU